UAUAUAAUUUUAGAAGAAGGAAUUAAUUUUGGGUUGGUUUACCCCGUCUUUAUGAAUCUUGUAGUCCAUUUCUUUUAGUCUUUGGCCCAAUUCCAAAGUUCAUAAUUUUCAAGCUCAUAACUCCUAGGCCCAUACCCCUAACCUAAUCCCUACCCCUAUAUAAUAAGACUUACACCUUAAGGACACAGCAGCCAUCAUCUUGAAGGAUCCAAGAAUCCCUACCCAAAAAAAUGAGAGCAGUCGCAAUACACAAUAGAUCCCUCAGUCGUUGAGCUUCAUCUUCUCCACACCUUGAGCAGCGAACAAACACAAAAAACAGACCCUUUCCUUCUCAACUUUUGGCAGCGCCUCUUGCAAAAGGUACUAAAAUAUCAAGAUUCCUCCUUGUUCAGAUUGUGGACACUUUUGUAUACUUGCUCUUCCCGAGCACGUUUUGCUGCAAAAGCUUCCUCAUCAAGUACUUUGAUUGGCGACCACUCGGGCAAUUUUAACCAAUCAUCUUUCCUAUUGACAAUAGAGUUAUAGAAGCUUCUCAAGGUUGGUUUUAUUUUGAUGGUAGCAUAAUCAACUGUCGUUCCAGCAACCGCAAAAAUGACCGAAUAACGAAUAACACCAAGUUGACCACCUGACAAUUUCAUCAAAAAGAACAGUUUUCUCUACUCUUUGUUGUAUUUUCGAGAGCUGAUAGCCGCAAACCAUCCCAAAUAGUUCACUUACACCACUGUUCAAGCGCAAUCGAGGUUCGAGUUCGAGUUCUGGUUGUGGUUCGACUUUGUUUUGCUGUUUGUUUAGAUCUGCUUCUCUCCUCAUGCUCAAAGGAAUCAUCCGGAGGCAAUGUGGAACGAAAGUGCACGAGUUGAAGCAAAAUAAAAAAUUGGGAUAGUGUAGCACCACAGGUAGCGUGAGGUGCUACCUACGGCCCAGUUUCCAGAACCUCAAAAAUCCCAGCGCCAGGGCUAGUGCCCCAAUCUACCCUAGGCGCUGGGAGAUGGGAAAGUAUCCUAAUUCGUCCGGGACAAGGUUAUUUUAACCCAAGACGCCCAACUCGUAUAAAAGCAAGUCUAAACCUAGUUUGGAGGGGGAGACGCCACUUUGAAGGAAAAAUACGCACAAGGAACAUCCGGGAGCAAGGAUAUCUCAGUUUUCUUCGUCUUUUGUUUGUAUUUUCAAUUAUUCAACACUUGUAAAUUAGUUUUAAUAUUAUCAUGAGUGGAUAAAAACCCAUAGUUCUCAGGUUGUGAUUUAACCAUGGAUAUGUUGUUUGAAAUUGACUUAACCUUGAUUGCAAUUCACCAAUAUAUGGUUAUUUCUUCAA
Non-coding RNA from Nicotiana tabacum (common tobacco), 1315 nucleotides. Lineage: Eukaryota; Viridiplantae; Streptophyta; Magnoliopsida; Solanales; Solanaceae. The record is from RefSeq and is a predicted model, not a curated record.